CUCUCCUUAGCUCAGCUGGCAGAGCAACUGACUCUUAAUCAGUGGGUCUAGGGUUCGAAUCCCUAAGGGGAGACCA
Molecule: transfer RNA, 76 nt
Filed under: Erysipelatoclostridium sp. An15
Lineage: Bacteria; Bacillati; Bacillota; Erysipelotrichia; Erysipelotrichales; Coprobacillaceae
Also listed under: 4 other names
Description: tRNA-Lys
Rfam family: tRNA
About the family: Transfer RNA (tRNA) molecules are approximately 80 nucleotides in length.
Source: RNAcentral